GGUGAGGUGGCAGAGCGGUUUAAUGCGCGCGCCUCGAAAGCGCGUGGACCCUCGCGGGUCUCGUGGGUUCGAAUCCCACCCUCACCGCCA
Molecule: transfer RNA, 90 nt
Filed under: candidate division WS1 bacterium
Lineage: Bacteria; Bacillati
Description: tRNA-Ser
Rfam family: tRNA
About the family: Transfer RNA (tRNA) molecules are approximately 80 nucleotides in length. Their secondary structure includes four short double-helical elements and three loops (D, anti-codon, and T loops). Further hydrogen bonds mediate the characteristic L-shaped molecular structure. tRNAs have two regions of fundamental functional importance: the anti-codon, which is responsible for specific mRNA codon recognition, and the 3' end, to which the tRNAs corresponding amino acid is attached (by aminoacyl-tRNA synthetases). tRNAs cope with the degeneracy of the genetic code in two manners: having more than one tRNA (with a specific anti-codon) for a particular amino acid; and 'wobble' base-pairing, i.e. permitting non-standard base-pairing at the 3rd anti-codon position.
Source: RNAcentral